This is a non-coding RNA of Pseudomassariella vexata, 100 nucleotides long. The record is from the annotation of a RefSeq genome assembly. Lineage: Eukaryota; Fungi; Ascomycota; Sordariomycetes; Amphisphaeriales; Pseudomassariaceae.
GGCCGGCUGGUCUAGAGGUAUGAUUCGCGCUUCGGAUAAACUCCAAGCACUCCAAGUGAAAACUUGCGCGAGGUCCCGGGUUCGAUCCCCGGGUCGGCCC